UGCAGACAGAAUGGCGUCAAUGGCGUUAUCUAUGGUGGCAUACUAAAGGGAGAAUUCCUCCGAAGGAAUGUGAGAGUUCAGACUAGGUAUUGUGGAUGAGUGAGGAGCAGAGAGGUCGACAAUCAACCUUUGCCUGGCUGAAUUUUUACCAGAGACCACUUCUAUAGGGUUAGUUCUCCAUACUGAGAAAGGCGAGGAGCGGGUCAAG
Non-coding RNA from Pelobates cultripes (western spadefoot toad), 208 nucleotides. The record is from the annotation of a GenBank genome assembly. Lineage: Eukaryota; Metazoa; Chordata; Amphibia; Anura; Pelobatidae.